UUUUCCUUUUUCUUCUUCUUUUCUUAACUUUCUCUUUUUCUUCCUUUCAAACCCUAGCUGCCGCCAUUGGUGAUCUAUUGCUCCGUUCGGCGGUGUGACGACCGGCGUUUCCCUCUCGUUCUUUUUUAUUCUUUUCUUCCUUCCUCAUUUUCUUCUUUUUCUUUUCUCUUCUUUUUUCCCUUUCUCUCCUUCCCUUUCCUCUUUUUUCUUUCUCUUCUAUUUCGGUAACCCCCAAGGUUGAAGGUGUCACCGCCGCGCUCGUCUUCGGCUCCUCUUUGCGCUCGGUGGCCGACGAUUCCAAGGUAAAUGUUUUUCUUUUUAUUGAUUCUUGGCUGCUAAUUUCUUGGAAAUUUUUUCUUGAUUUUUGCUUGGUUGCUUCGUGAUUGGGUUUUAGGUGGUGUUGCGGCGAUUGCGGUGGUGGUUGUUGCGCAACGGUGGCGAUGGCCUUUUGCUUGCUGCUGUUUUGAUUUUUUUUGAGUUUUCUCUGCUAUUUUUUUUUUACUUUUUUUGGUUGCUGAAAUUGAGAACCCCAUUUUUCUCUUCAACUUUUUCUUUUAAAACCUUCCACUUUGUCCUCUUCUUCUUUGUUUUCAGGUGGCAGUAGAGGAGGGGGAGCAAUAUCGAUUGGGGGUAUCGGCGUGGAAGGCGGUGCACGCAAGAACGCAGAUUGGGGGCAGUCUUGUCAUGCCCAGAAGGACCAAAAUGUAACGGGUGCAAAGUUUCUGGGGCAAAAAUGUAAUUUCAAGAAAAACAUGGGGCCAAAAUGUAAUUUUUAGAAAUUUAAGGGGUCAAAAUGAAAUUUUAAGAAAGUUAAAGGGUCAAAGUGUAAAUAUAGGAAAGUUUAGGGUCCAAAAUAUAAUUUAAAGAAAAUUUAGGGGUCUAAAUAUGAUUUAUAUUUUUUUUGUAUUUUUUCUGAUUUAUUAUUAUUUUAUUAAUAGUAUUAAAACAUAAAAAACAAUGGGCCAAAGCCCAAAUAAGUCCAAAAUUAAAUUAUUUAAAACCUAAUUAUCCAACCUUACAUGCCCAACCAUUGUGCCCAAUCAUUAGGCCCAUAUGAGGCAAGCCCAAAAAAUCAUAAUUUUUUUAAAUAUAUAUAUAAAAUAAAAUAAAAUAAAAUAAAAACACGAAGAAUGUACCGGACAAAAUUCAGUGAUUACAGGUUCUAUCGGUACUUUUGAAUUUUUGAUUUUGGUUAUAAUGGCAUGUAUAGGUUAUUUUGGCUAAAUGUUGGUUUAUAUGUGUUGUUGGGAUUAGUCAUAUAUUUGGCUUGUGUUUUGGUAUUUUGGUAUGUGCAUAAUUUGUCUUAUAAUGUUGAUGUGUGGAAUGAUGAAAGAUAAAAUAGUAGUUGAAAAUGCAUAUGAGGUAUGUUUUAUAACUUGGUGUGAUUUGGUGCUAUGUUACAGUAAGUGUAUAUGUAUUUUAUGCUAUUGAAUAAGUGGUACAACUGGUACCAAAUGGUAAGUUUUAGUAAAUGAUUUACAUGUUGUGUAUUAAUGCGAUUAGACAUAAAAGUUAGUUGAUUACUUGGUUACAUGAAUUAUAUGGUUAAACAUAAUUGUAAUGGUCAUUUAAGGUGCCUAAGGGCAUAUUGAUUUUACGUGAAUAUACUACAUGUUUAGGGAUUGAUUUUAGAUGUUAUAAUAUGACUUGUUUAUAUACACAAUGUUGAUUGUAGGUUGACACCAAAUUGGGUGAGAAAUAUGAUUUGUAAAAUGACCUAUUUCCGUCCACACGGGUAGAGACACGGGCGUGUGUCUCAGCCGUGUGUGACACAUGGCCAUGUGCCCCCUGUAUCUUUUAAUUAUGCAAGUCAGUAUGCUCACACGGCCUAGCACACGGGCAUAUGGCUUGGCCGUGUGACUCAAGUCAGAGAGCUUUCAAGUUUGGACACAAGUUGGGACAUGGAUAUGUACCCUUAUUUCGAAUGCCCAUAUGGCCUGAGACAUGGACGUGUCUCUUGACCGUGGGAGCCACACAGCCUGACCACACGGGCAUGUGUCCCCUAUACCUAUGAAAUAUUUGAAUGUUUUUCGAAAAAUUUUCUGAGUACCCGGUUUAGUCCUGACUUAUUUUUAACAUGUAUUUUGGGCCUCGAUGGCUCACAUAAGGGACAAUAUGAUGGAUUUGGAUUAGAUUCUGAUAUGAGUGCUAGAUGAUAUGAAAUGUCUGUUAUUUGAUCUGUAAAUUCUAGUAAUGCUUCGUAUCCUGUUCCGGCGUCGGAUUUGGGUUAGGGGUGUUAUAAAGAUAGCCCUCAUUAAGGUUGUUUUGUGAUGGAAUAUGAUUUAACAAAUGGCCAACUUUAGGAAUCCAACUGUCCUUCCAACAUCUCAUGCUAUUAUCGUUUCCAACUGACCAUAUAACAUUCUUAUAUAGGGGGCCAAAUCUUCAAAAGAGAUUCCCAAAGAAAUGAGCAGUUCCCUCGAAUUAAUAUAAACAAAUAUGCCUUCCUCCACCAUAUACUUUGACCUUAGAACACGGACCCAUAAGGAAUCAAUAUUGGUUAACAUGUUAUACCCCAAUUUUAACAUGAAGGAAAUGUUUUGAUCCUUCAACUAUUAAAUCCCCAACCCUCUAGAUGCCUUGGGUUGACAAACAAACUGCCAAUUAACAAGGGUCAUCUUUCUACUCCCCCUAGAAUGCCCCCAAAUGAAUUGUCUGACAAUGUAUUCAAUCUCCUCACAUAUACUUUUUAGGGUUAUCAUGAUCUGCAUAAAAUAAUUAGGGAUUGUGAGGAGCAUCGGCUGAGGUAAUGUGACUUUACCAAAAAGAGCUAACUUCCUUGCAUCCCACUGUUGGAGUCUAGCCUUAACCUUUUUCACCACAAACCUCAAGAAACUAUUGGUGAUCCUCUCAUAAAAUAGUGGAAAACCUAGAUAUGAACCAAGAUUAUGGACCUUCUGAAAGCCGAUAGUCUCACAUAAACGCCUCCCAUAAUUUUUAUCAAUUCCCUUCGAAAAGCAGAUUAUCGUCUUGUUAGUAUUAAUUUGGUGCCUAGAGAAACCACAUAAAUUUUUCAGAGUCUUCUUGAUCAAUAUCGCCUAUUUCGUGUCAGCUUUUCCAAAGAUAACUAGAUCACCUGCAAAAAAGAAUGUGAAAGUAGAGGUCUUGUUCUAGACAAACAAAUGGGACUCCACUUACCUGUAUUUAUGGAAUCAUGAAUACAUUGACCAAGCCAUUCCAUGUAGAGGACAAAAAGAUAUGGUCAUAAAGGACAACCUUGUCUAUUACCCUUGGUCGGGUUAAACUUCUAAGUCGGGACUUCAUUCCAUAAAAUCUGCAUAGACGUAUUCAUGAUAGCCGACAUAAUAACCUUCCUAAGGAAUUCAAGAAAGCUAGCCACCCGAAGUGAAGCUUUAAUAAAAUCCCAAUGCACUCUAUCACACGCCUUCUCCAAAUCAAUCUUGAUUUCUAUCCACCUCUUAUUCUUGUGUUUGCUCCAUAUGGAAUAUAUCACCUCCUGAGUGCCAGAAUGAUGUUAUCCGUGAUAUUUUUCUCAUCAACAAAACCAACUUGAUUUUGUCUAAUAAUUCUAGGAAAAACCAUUUUGAAAUGAUUAGCAAUAAUUUUCAUGACCAACUUAUAAAGAACCGAACAUAAGCUAAUAGGACGAAAUUGCAUAAAACUUUCAGGAUUUGGAACCUUAGGGACAAGAAUAAUUAAGGUAUUAUUGAGUUCUCGGCUGGCUCUGGAAAAAGAAGCCGUGAAAACCAUCACUUAUUGGUGCUUUCGAAAGAGUCAUGUCAAAAAAAGCAGCCUCAAUCUCUUCCAGUGAAACCUCUCUGCCCAAUAACAGGGUAUCACUCUGAUCAAGUUUAGGAAAGGAACUAGGAGGUAAAUUCAUCAAAUUAACUGGUUGAUCACCAUACAAAUUUUGGAAGAAAAUGAGCUCCUUAGAUUGAAGUUCCUCAUCAUCAUAAAUUCAUUUACCUCUCUCAUUCUUUAAAGCAAAAAUCUGAUUAUGUUUCCUUCUCUGAAUCGUACGAGAAUGAAAAAUUUUAGUAUUGCGGUCCCUGAGGUACAACUAAUCACAUUGACUUUUCUAUUUCCAUAAUAGCUCCUCAUGAUGUAACACCCUUUUCAACUCCUCCCUAACCUUCAAUUCUAAUUGGCUUAAGGUAUUGGAGUCCAACGUAUCCAUGUCCUUUUGAAUCCCAUCUAGUUUUUGCAUCAAAUACCUUUUACGGGUACAAAUAUUUCCUUAAACAGACUUAUUCCACUCUUUAAUAUUCAUGGUAAAUUGGUGGAUAGACUCGAGCAUGUUACCAUUGAAAACCCCAAUUAUCUUUGACGAAAUUCAAAAAGUUUGGGUGCUCCACCCAAUCGGCCAGAAAUCUAAAUGGGCACCCCCUAGGUGGGUUAACCACUGACUUGAGAAAGAGGAACAAUGGCCCAUGGUCAGAUUUAAGCCUAGGAAUAUGAAUGACUGAACAACUAGGGAAAGCUCUAUCCAAGUGUCAUUACGAAUUGCCCUAUCAAGCCUCUCAAAACUAUCUCCCCGAUGUCAUGUGAAGGUUGGACCCUUAAACCCUAAAUCCUACAAAUCAUUCAAUUCAAGAAACUCAUAACAUAAAGGACAGCCUAUUCCAACUCGUCUACCUCCUUUUUUUGUCGCUAGAUGAAAGUUAAGUAUUAAAAUCAUCGAUAGAUGCCCAAGGAACACCUUUAGGUGGAAUGAUUGAACUAAGACCCUCCCUAGAAUCCUUCUUUUCUGUCUAUCAUGACCUCCAUAAACAAAGACAAUGAUCACAGCCUGGGAUUAAACCCCUUUAAAAACCUGAAUGACAAUGAAUUAGGGGUGAUUAUGAAUUACCUCAACUGAAACAGACUUUUUCCAGCCAACCUAAAUACCUCCCGAAUAACCAACAACCUCUACUCUAUCCGAAUGUUGUAAACCCAAAUUGGCAAUGAUCUUAUCUACUUUGUAACCAUUUACUCUCGUAUUUAGCAGACUAACAAUAUCGAUUUUAUAUUCCUUAUUAUAUUCAUGAAAAAUACGGGGAAAUUUUUUGCUGGCACAACCCUGACAAUUCCAAGAAUAAAUAAAUAAAUCCAUAAAAAAUAACAUAAAGAGAAUUUAAACCAAUCUUACUUCUUGGGAAGCUUGACUUCCUCCGACUACUUUCCAUCAAAGGUUGAGGAGUAUUUGUCUACCUCAUUGCUAAAUUGAACACUAAUUAACUUGAUCAUAAAGUUUAGAGAAUCUGGUAAGGAUACUCGAGCGGUUUUGGCUUGGUUAAAUCGAUCCCCACAAUCUCUAAUGGUAUGAUUAAGCUUACGUCCAAUGCGAACUAAGCCACCUUUAUCAUCGCAAUUUUUAAUACCAACGUUACCUUUGCCCCUUCAACAGUAACAUUAUCGCUUGAGGACGUGCUUUUAUUUGGGUAAGAAUUCUCUUUGAAAGUAACUGUUAAAUGUUUCUCCAGAUCAAGGACUGUAUUAUUCAAUGGAACAUCUACACUACCCAUGUCUUCAAAAGUAAAAUUAAAAUGUGUGACAUUUACAGAAGAUUUAGCUGGAAAUAUUGAAAAGAUUAAAAGAAUUUGUUUCCAUAUCACCCUUAUGCAAUCUAGCCUCUUGAGCUUUAAAUCUAGGAUCCAAAAAUCCACUGGUCGAAUUAUCCUGGACCGAACCUACAGAUCCAGAGAAAAGAUUAGAGUUAGAACUUGCUAUAUCCAUGUUUACACAAACCUCACUAGCGCAACCAAGCCCAACAUCCUGCAUAAGCCUCUUGCCCAUCUUUUUAGCUAAAGCCCCAUUAGAUAUGUGGCCUAAUUCUGCAUUUCCCUUACUAUCAGGUCCAACUUACCUAUCAGGCCCCAAAUGGGUUCCAAGGCCCUCAUUCAUCUUACGACCUGCACUCAUGCCAAAACCCAACUCCACAUUGGUCUUCUCCUUAACUCUAGCCCUAGCUCUACUACCCAUCAUUUUCCUAUUUUCCUUCUCAAUGGUCGUUUCACCCAAGAGACAGCACCACCCUCGCCAUUAUUACCUUCCAUCUUUCUCGCCGCACUUAGCAUCAUGAACCUUGAACCCUUGCCAUCAUUCCUUGAUUUCACCUGAUCUUUUUCCCGUGAAUCUCUCUGUCCAUGCCAAGAUUUCCUCUCCACCAUCAUCCACGACCCACAUGCUAUCCUGGUCACUCCUUCUACUCUAACCCCAGUCUUACCUUGGUACGCGACCUCCGACUUCUUUCCUCUUUCCCAAUUCAGAUCUAUAAAAAGGGCACAACUCCUCCAUAUGUCCGUUCUUACCAUAAGAAAAGCAAAAUCGUCGAAAGUCCUUCAUACUCCACUCGUUGGACUUCGUCGUUAACCUUUACCUGAGAAAUCAGUGGCUUGUCGAGGAUGAUUAAAACUACCAUUCAGGUAAAACGGCCUAUUGUUUUGCUAUCUUUCUGAAAAUCAAGUUUUGCCAUUGUUCCAAUCAUACCCCCAAUAGCUUCAAGGAUUUUCCUUUUGUACAUGAACCCCGGAAGACCCAGUAACCUUAUCCAAGACAUCACCACGCUCGAGUAUGGUUGUGACAGACUAAAAUCCUUAGUCCAUGGUUAUACAGUUAGGUACUGACCAUAGAUAAUCCAAGGUCCCUGAGUCAACACCCAGUCAUAAUCUUCAGUGGUUUGAAACUUAACAAAAAAAAAUACUCGUUUUCUAUACCCAUUAGGUAGAAUGGUUUUACUGGUUUCCAAAGACUGAUGAUCCGAUUAUGAAGAGCGACAUAGCCGAUACUCUGCCCCAAAAGCUUCAAGACAACAUUCGUUUCCAUCUCCUUGAAUAGAAUUUGUUUAAUACGGUCUAAAAAUUCUCUUGUUUGGAUCCUGUUUACCAUAGAUCUUCUCACAUCUCAUUCCAAAAAUUCAAAUCACUUUACUUUCACCAUUAGAUCUAUCACUUGCCUUACCAGAAAUGGCUGAACCUCCUCCCAAAAGCUUGUCCUUCCAAGACAGAGUCGGAGUUAGAUCUAGGUCCACAGCCAUAACAACGACCACUUCAGCAGAUCGUUCCUUAAACCUCACUUUCUGAGUGUUCCAAUAAUCAGAAAAAUGAGAUUCACCAUUGCCUCCAUCAUAGAUGUAUUGCAUUGAAAUAUGUUAUAUAAAUCUUUAUCAAAUCAAAUUUAAAAAUAAAUUAAACACUAAAAAAAUGAACUUUGUUAUCUUCAAGUUGAAUUAUGUAACUUUUUUCAAAUAAAUGUACCACAAUGGACUAACAAAUAAGACAUGUAAAACAAAAUGUCAAAAGCCUUUAAAAAAUUAUUAUUGUAACCUUACAAAUCUAUAUUUUUUUUUUACUUUUUACAUAAUUAAAUUUACAAAUAUGUAUUUUUUUUUGUAACCAGAGACAUAUACUAAAUACCAAAAGUUACGCAGGGAGUAGGGAGGGAGUUAUGACAUAGACAUAAUGACUUAUUUGUAAUCAAAUCUAUAUAGCAAUGUCAUGUCAGCAAAAUUAACAAACGAUAACUUUUUCAUUCAUUUUGGAUGGUUUGACAAAUAAAAAAGUUUAAAAACUAAAAAAGAUGAACAAUUAAAUAAAUAUGCUAAAAUUAUUAUUUUUGUAAAAUUAGAGGACGGAAAUAGGGGGAAAAUAACCAAAAAAGGCCGUUUUUUCAAAAUUUACCGAAAUGGGCCGGUUUUUUAAUUAUUUACCGGAAUGGGCCAUUUUCCGCGAAAUCGCGUCCACGUCAACGCGAUGUCAGGGUACGCACAGGAAAUCGCAUCCACGUCAGCGCGAUUUGCUGACGUGGAAGGAAAUCGCGCCCUCUAGAACGCGAUUUGCUGACGUGGCAUGAACAGUGUGUUUUUAGCUUGGAAAACUUUGAAAGGCCAUAACUUUUGGCUCGGUUGUCCGAUUGAGACGAAUUUUUUUUAUUUCGAAUAACUUUUCGAGAUCUACGCGCUAGAAAACAGCCGAAGGCGGUUUGCCGAAGUUUUCAUCGAAAAAUAUCCUUUUUUGCCCCUAAAUUUUGAUUUUUUCGGUUUAAAAUUGAAGUUUGAAACAUUCAAAUCGUUAUUUUCCUCAUUUAUUUGAAGUAAACACCGGAUCUUUUUUUACAGAAUUGUCUUAUAUCAUCCUGUUAUAGGUAUAAGUCAGCUCAUUCCACUUUUAAGAAGUUCCCUAAAAUUUUCCAUUUUAUUCAAUUUAGUCCCUAAAACCUAAAUAGUCAUAUUUUCAAAUCUAAGCUUCGUUUUUCAAUUCAAAUUCAAUUUCAUCCUUCCAUAACAUUCAAAUAUUCUUAAAUACAAAAAUUUUGUGCUAAUUUUGAAAUAAUUACACUUUAGUCCCUAUACUCGUAACUAACAAAUUAUAAUUUACAAAUUAGUCCCUAUUCAUCUCUAAGCAGUUUUCCAGCGCAUAGAUCUCGAAAAGUUAUUCGCAAUAAAAAAAAUUCAUCUCAAUCGGAUAACCGAGCCAAAAGUUAUGGCCUUUCAAAGUUUUCCAAGCUAAAAACACACUGUUCAUGCCACGUCAGCAAAUCGCGUCCUAGAGGGCGCGAUUUCCUUCCACGUCAGCAAAUCACGCUGACGUGGAUGCGAUUUCCUGCGCGUACCCUGACAUCGCGCUGACGUGGACGCGAUUUCGCGGAAAAUGGCCCAUUCCGAUAAAUAAUUAAAAAACCGGCUCAUUUCGGUAAAUUUAAAAAAAAAACCGGCCUUUUUUGGUUAUUUGCCCGGAAAUAGGUUAUUAUACCCAUAUUUUAAUGUAACUUUAUAAAUUUUGCCCAUAAUUAAAUGGUCAGGACCGGGUUUAUAUCCUAUAAGGCCAAGCUUGUUUUAAACCCGUAUAGUUCCCCAAAUCAGAUGCAAUCUGACAAGAUCUAGGGCCACAAUUUCUGUAGGGGGGCCGGCCUUUAUCGUGAAACAUAACGAUCGAAACCGAUAGAUCUACGGUUCUACCAAUACUCGCAUUUCAUUUUGUAGCAAUUUUAAAAAAUCGAAAGCGAUAAUCUCUCCUCAUUGCGCGGUUCCGAUUUAAAGAACUAAAACAAUUCGAAAAUCCUAAUUUUGUAUUUCCGUUUUAAUUUCAUCAAUUUAUUUAUUUUGUUUCCGCUCCCUGAAUGACGGGAAAUUUCCCUCCCAAUCUAACCUCUCCUUAGUUGGUGUUUGGCUCCAAAGAAAAUUAAACGAAACAGCCAAGGAGAAUAAAAUUCAAGAGGCAAUGGAAAGUGAAGGGAACAGUGAGAAAAAACUGAGCAGCAGCAAACUGAAGAAAGGAAGUAACAUCAUACCACUCACCGGAGCUGCCGCUCUUCUCACACUCGUUGUUAGUCUUGCUAUCACCGCUAUCAACAAACGACGAAACUCCAAGAGAAAAGGUCAUUUUCAUUUUCUUUUUCUCAAUUUAUCUUAUACUUGCUUGUUUCUCGUUUACAAAUAGUAAUUAAAGGAUAUAUAUAUUAAUUUUAGAUCUUACGGGAUGUAAUUUCCGAGUAAAUUUGUCGGCGAGUGAGAUUCUAAAAUUAGCUGACCGAAUCAUAGCAAAAUCAAAGGAAGUUCAUGACGCCGUUGCUUCAGUACCGCUUGAUAAGGUUUUCAUAGUUUCAGUAUCUUCAAUUUUUCCCUCUAUGCUCUUUUUGACUAUUUUUACAUUUAUAAGAAUUCGAAAUUCAUAUAUAUUUAUCACUUUUUUAAAAAACGGUCAGGUUACAUAUAAGAAUGUUAUAUCACCGCUGGCGGAAUUGGAGGCUCAACAGUUUCCAUUGGUGCAAUCAUGUGUGGUUCCUAAGUUGGUCUCUACUUCAGAUAAAGUGCGUAAAGCUAGCGCUGAAGCCGAGAAGAAAAUAGAUGCCCAUAUCUCUUCCUGCAGGUUUAGUUCACUUGUUUAUGACUUAUAUCAGAAUCAAGUAAUAACAUUUUAUGUUUAGAUUGUUUCAUCUAGUUGGUAAUGCUCUUUUUGAACCUAGACUAUUUUUCUAAUUAAACCUAGUAUGCCUUUGUAAGUAGUUGUAGAUAUGGGAAUUCUAGUAGUUGUGUAUAUGAAAAUUCUACUGUUCAGUUGUUUACCGAGAAUCAAAUCUAACGUUUUUACUGUUUAAUUGGGGCGUUGAUCAGUAAACGCGAAGAUGUAUACUGUGUUGUCAAAGCUUUUGCUGCAAAAGGGGAGUGGAUGGGCCCAGAAGCAAGACACUAUGUUCAUUGCUUGGUAAGGGAAAUAUUUCCGCUUUCUCAUGUUUGUUACCCAUCUUAUGACAUGGGAUUUUCAAAUACUGUUGGCUACAAAGUAAAAUGGUAAAGUAAGUUUUAUACUGAAAGAACGGCCAGAUGAGGUUAUAUAUUGUAAUGUACCAUGCUCAAGAGCACAAAUGUUUCAUUGUUUUGAAUACAAGUUUAGUUGUUCAGUCAUAGUGUUGACUCCUUUCUGACCAGUGACAGAUGAAAGAAUUUGAACGGAAUGGAUUGAAUCUUACAGCAACAAAAAGAGAAGAAGUGCAACGCUUGAGAGCUCAAAUUGAUGAGCUCAGCUUUCAAUAUGUUCAGAAUUUGAAUGAUGAUAGCACUUCUGUUUUGUUCCAUGAGAAUGAGCUAGCCGGACUACCAGCAGAGUUUCUCAAGGUUCUACAUUUUCUAUAUUUAAUUUCCUCUCCUGUGCUCACUUUAUUAGUUUAUAUAUGGAAAAUUUGGACUCUACAUUUGUCUCAUUUGAACAAAAAGUUCUGAUCUCAAUUAGUUUUCUACAUUUGAUUUUUUGCUGGUCUGCUGGUCAUAGAUUUCCUCUGAUGGUAAAUUAAUUACAUACCCUUUUUAUUUCAUGCUUAAGUUGUUGAACUUCAACAUUCUGCAGAAAUGAUGGUUAACUGAUCACAUGAAUCAAUUACAUUUGUAAAUAAUUUCAGUUUUGAUAUUUGGCAAUGCAUGUUGGGGAUAUAAAAUAAAAUAUGCCUAAAUGAUGAUUUCAAAUAUCUAAAGUGAAAAUUGCCGAAUAUAAUGCAUUUGUACUGCAUCGUAGAAGCAUCAGAGAAGCCCAAAGAGCAAGUAUCUACCAUUUUGGAAACUGACCUAUUCAUAAAUAUUGCUGCUAUUCCUUACCCGAAAGAGACUCUAUGAAUUCAAAAUUUUAAUACCUCAUGAUAGAGUUUUUUGAAUGACUCAGUUUAUAAUAUAGUAAUAAAUUUUGUUUUACUGUUUCUUUUGCAGACUUUAGAAAAAGCAGAGAAUGGGAUGUUCAGAGUCACAUUGAAAAGUCAUCAUGUUGCAGCAGUGUUGGAGCUAUGCAAGGUAUGAUUAUUGAAGUUGAUUAAUUUUCAGCUGGCAAGAGGCAAUAUGUUGAUAAUGGCUGUGCCCUUGCUGUUUGGAAAAAGUUUUUGCACAAACUGACAAGGUGAAUUAAUAUUACAAUAUUUUCAGAGAUCGAUUACGUACUUGAAUUGCAGAAUGGUUAAGGAGUCCUGAUUAAUUUUCUUAUGUACUGGCUUUUAAAAUAUUUCUGAUAUUGCAAGAAUAGCAUGACAACGAAAUCCAGCAUAUUUUCAAUUAAGUGGACAUUACCACUGCCACAAUUAAUAUUUGACAAAUGCAUGGCCUUGCAUGUUGAUAUCAUGCAACAUCAACUCAACCUUUUCUGAAAGUUAAGAUCAACUUGAUCCCAUAUUUGUCACUAUGGCUUUAGACUUGAAAUCUAAUGAAAUUUUUUGUUUGUAUUACUUCAGUAUUGUCUGAACACUGAAAUAUGAGAAUGACUAUUGUGGAGUUUCCUAUUUACAUUCUGAGCCUUUGCAGAUAGGAAAGACAAGAAGGUUAGUAGCUAUGGCAUAUGGAAAGAGAUGUGGAAAAGCCAAUCUCUCUGUCUUGGAAUAUUUGGUAUAUAUUUCAUUCUCCCUUGGGCCCCUCCUCUAUGUUUCUUUGAGAUGAUGUUUACUUGGAAUGAAAUGAUGGUCCAAAUCCAGACCAAGGGCUGCAUUUUCAUUGACGUCCUUUUACUUUGUUGGUCUGACAUUACUAGUAUUUUGUAUUGGCAUAAGCUACUAAAUCUCCUUUCAGUGUAUCAUUUUGACAUUUAGGUCUUUAAAACCCCCCCUAACUAGGCGGGCGGCGAUUUUAUUACACUAUCAAUUUGUAUAUUUAUUAUCUUCCAUUCAUUUUACUUUUGCAAUUUAUGCCACAUUAGAGGCAUUACUGUCUUCAAGGUGAUGCUAUGGAAGUUAAAGCUCCAGGCUUCACCUUGUAGGUGGCAGGGUAGGAAUUAGGAUUUAUGGGAUGGGAGAGGGUACCUACCAUUGUGUAGCCAAAUCUCAUUUUACCAGAAAAAGUGGGAAAAGUGUAGGAUGAACAUAUUGACAUGGGAGUUUCUAUGAUUUAAGUUUUUAUUAAGAAUAUCAUAUUUACCAUAAUACCAUGUUGGUAGCACCUAAAACUUAUAAAUUAAAAUGUAAUGGCUGUUCUAGUAAGUGGUGACAAAUUCUUGGUUUUCAACAGUUUUAACUUAUCAGCAACUUUAGCAUAGUUAUAUUAAUUCAUUCAUUCUUUCUUGAGUGCCCAUUGCUGCAAUGUCCCUAGAUGUGGACCCCAAUACGAAGUUUCAUUAUAGCCUUGAGUUUGCAUUGAGUAUAAAAGACCAAUAAGUUAACUUUUCUUUUGUGAUAUAGGUUCAAGCUCGUCACAAAUUUGCUCGAUUACUUGGCUAUUCAAACUAUGCAGAAUAUGCUUUGAAUCCUAGAAUGGCUAAGACGCCCUCGAAGGUCUGAUUUAUUUUCUGGGAAUAUUUGUUGUUUAUUUGCUGCAUGAAUAAUAUAUGCAAUUUCCAUGUCUUUCAGCUUUGACCUUAGUGUUUUAAAAAAAUAAAAGUAAAUCGUUCAUUUUUUAUUGAAUUUUAGUAAUCUGACUGAAAUCUUGCCAUGUCUCUUCCUCUCCCUCUCUCUUCCUUUUCAGUUUUUAACCACAAAACUUUUUGUUGGCCUAGUCUAGUUAGAUCUCUUUUUUGUUGACAUGGUUAAUCCAGAUGCAAUGUUUCCUCCUGAAAUUUAAUCAGAAUUUUUCUGGCUACCUCCUCGCCUGUCAUCUGUCCUAAGGAAUGUGCUGUUUUAUACAAUGACGCCUGAAAUGAUUAUGAUCUUAAUGAUUCAUUUCCUGAGUGAUAUGACCAAACCAUGCAAAACUAGCUUUACAUAAGCAGAAAAUCAUUUUGUUGUGACAUUUGAAAUAGACGACAUUAGGAAACAUAGAAAAGAAUGAAGUUUUGGAUUGUGCUUUAUGGAAUAUAGCUAUCUUAUAAAACACUGUUAUGAAGUUUAUUUUAAAGAUGCAUCUAGGUUUUGUAUUACUUUUCAAUGCUUCAUGUUAUGAAGUUCAUUUUAAAGAUGCAUCUAGGUUUUGUAUUACUUUUCAAUGCUUCAUUAAUGAAUGUAAUAUUUGCUUCUUAGGACUUUGUGAAUGUGUCCAGGUAUUGGAAUUCUUAGAGGACAUUUCUUCCAGUUUAUCAGACUUAGCCAAUAAAGAGCUGGCUAUGUUGAAAGAGUUAAAGGUCAGAACAUAAUCUCCAUAUUCUGAUUCCUUUUAUUUUUUUCCCUUUCAAAUAAAUGUUUUAUUUGCUUUGUUUUGUCAUCAGAAGCAAGAUGAAGGAGAGCUUCCAUUUGGAGUUGAAGAUCUCCUGUACUAUGUAAAGAAGGUUGAGCAACAGGAAUUUGAUCUGGACCUUGGAGCUCUGAAACAGUACUUUCCUGUCAAUUUGGUUCUAUCUGGAAUUUUCAAAAUAUUUCAGGAUCUUUUUGGUAAGUCAUUACAUGCACGUAUAUGGCUUAUGCAGGCUGCAUGUGGAUGAGUGGUGGGAGGAUUCCCGUUGCAGUGAUGCAGCAAAAUGGCACUGGAACCCUGAGUGUCCAGUGAUGAAAAUGACUGCAUCAGUGUGGUGGAAAUCCUACCCAACUCCAUUCAAAUGACUUCAUAGUCACGGAAAAUGCUUAUCUCUAUGUCUUGUAUGUAUCAUACAUGCUGUCCUUUACCUGCAGGUUUAAGGUUUGAGGAAAUUGCAGAUGCUGAUGCCUGGCACAGUGAUGUUCGAAUGUUUUCUGUUUUUGACUUGAGUUCUGGUGAACUUUUGGGUUAUUUCUACCUCGACAUGUACAAGAGGUUCACAUAUUACUUUGAGUUUUCUUCUUUAUUUUUCUCUGCUUUGCUUGCUCUAGUUAGAGAAAAUUGGGUUAUCGUUGUGGAACAGGGAAGGGAAAUAUGGUCAGACUUGUGUGGUUGCUCUUCAAAAUGGCUCAGUAGCGUUCAAUGGUGCACGACAGGUGAUUGAUAUAACAUAAUGAUCAUGCUUAAUAGUUAUACUAUUUUAUCUUAGCAUCUUCUUUGAGCACCUGAGUAGAAUAAAUUUGCUUAAAUGUUACUAAGAUAUGCUCUGCUCUUAAAAAUCAGUGACUCAUAUUAGUUAUUCUGUCCCAGGUUCCACUGGCAUUGCUAAUUUCUCAAUUGCAGACUGACAUUGGUGGCAUUCCGAGUUUGCUAAGAUUCACGGAAGUGGUCAGUCUUUUGCAUGAGUUUGGCCAUGUGGUAUGUUCAACUCUAAAUUAUUUUCUUGGCUUUAUCGUUUAUGAUUGGUGCAUUAUAUUGGCUCAUAAUAAUGUUUUUGUAGUAGAAAGUAGAUUGUUAUUUUAGUUCGAUGUUUUAGGAAGAUAAUAUGGAUUUCACUCUCUAUGGGGAUAUAGGUUCAACAUCUAUGCAACCGUGCAUCGUUUGCUAGAUUUUCUGGGUUGCGUGUUGAUCCUGACUUUGUGGAGAUCCCUGCUAAGGUUCUUGAAAAUUGGUAGGUUGUAGAUCCUACUAUUUCUUUUUCCUUUGGACUUACUAGACUCCUUGAUAAUGGUUUUUUACAUAUAGGUGCUAUGAGAGCUUCUCAUUGAAGUUAAUAUCUGGUUUCCAUCAGGUAUACAUUCUGACAGAUUCUGUAUAUGCAUACUUUCUACAUAUGUAUUUGUGCAUCUGUAUGUCUUACUGCCAGAUAUUCAUUUGUAUAUGAAUUGGCUGGAGCUUGGUUCUGUAUUUUGGGGUGUUCAUCUAUGUGUUUUAUGCAAUUAUAUUCUGGGUGGAUUGGGAAAGGAAUGUUGUGGUUUUUGAAGACAUGGUGCACAGUCUCUCUGGGGCCUUUUUUUUUUUUGAGAUGGGUGGAUGGUGUUUCAAAUAUCUAAAAGGCAACUAAUUACUUGAAAUUAUCUCUAUGAUAUGAUCAUUUUCAGGAUAUUACAAUGCCCAUUAAGGAUGAAAUAUGUAAAUCACUUAAAAGAUGGCGUUAUUCCUUUUCGGCUCUUAAAUUGAAGCAAGAAGUUCUUUAUUGUAAGCCUCUUACUUCGUCAUCAAUCAAGAAAUUUCAAUUUUACUGAAAUCUGUUGAGACCUUGAUACUCAAAAAUCCGUUAUUAUCUGUUAGUCAUUUCAUUUCCCAUUUGGUAAGUUUUUGGAAUUAGAUCCAGGUAUGUGAUGUCUUUCUCUUUAAGUUUAACCAGAAUUGACAGUUCUACAGUUUGAUAAAACAUGAAGAAAACUUUAAGAGGCGAGAGGGUUUCCAAAUUCAAUAGGGUAUUUAUUGCGACAUAGGAUCAUAUGAGUUAUUAGAAUUCAUAAUAAGAAUAGUCAGUAAUUUAUCGUGGUUUCUUUUUGUUCUAGGUAGCAUGAGUAUUACGCCCAGGCAUGUUGGGCAAUUGUUCUUCAUGGUUGUUGGUUCUUGCCCACACUGCUUACUUCGGCAUGAUUAUAAAUGCUUUGUGCCUGUUAUUGCAACAUAAACAAGUUUGCUUCCAUUUUGAGUUAGGAAUGUGUAUUUUGGUGCUUUAUAUUGAUCGGUUAAAUAUCUUGAGUGAAGCUGUCUUAUAUGGAGUCGAGAUCGAGGAAUUUAGUUUACAAGAAAAAGACACUUUUUAAUUUAGCACCUCAACAUAGAUGGACUGUUUUCUGCUGUAAUUCAAAAUUCUAUGCCUCUCUUCAGAUAAGCUCUAAAGAUAUUUUUGACUGUCAGGUCUUUUUGAUCAAAUUAUACAUUCUGCUGAAAACGUUGACAUUUUUGAGUUAUUCAAACAUCUUCAUCCAAAGGUAAGUAAAUUUUCCCGUUCUUGCUUUCGUACUUUGUGCUUUUAGGAGGAGAGCAAUUACAUCAUUCUAUUUUUCCCCUCCGUCUUUUGGCCAUUGUAGGUAAUGGUGGGAUUGCCAAUGUUAGAAGGAACUAAUCCAGCUUCAUGCUUCCCACGUUGUGCUAUCGGUUAUGAAGCUGCUUGUUACAGCCGUAUUUGGAGUGAGGUUUGUUUGUUUCAACCCUAUCGUUCUUGCGUGCUUUUAUUUUAUUGUCUAGAUAAGAUUGUAGAUUACAGUAAACUUUAUGGGGUUUGCAGUAUAAUUGUUACUAUUUAUCAUGGAUGAUCUCUUUCUGAGUGAUACGACUACCAUUUCUAUGCUUCAAAUGAAUAGGUAUUUGCAGCUGAUAUUUUUACGUCAAAGUUUCAAGAUGGGCUUCUGAACCAGCAUGUUGGUAUGCAGUUUAGGACCAAGGUACUAACUACCUUAUAUGUCACCAUGCUGUUUAUUGUUUUUGAAACUUUCCCUUUUCUUCGUUUCCAAGCCGUUACAGAAAUAUUGAAAUCUAAGUCUCAUUUCUAUCAUGUACGUGGUCAUAUGUUAGUAUUUGACGUCUUGGUAGGUAUUGGCACCCGGAGGAGCUAAGGAUCCAAUUGAAAUCCUGUCUGAUUUUCUUGGAAGAGAACCAUCAAUUCAGACAUUUAUCGACAACAAAAUUGAAUGCAGUUUGUGGCACUGAAAGUUUUGGGUAAUUCAUCUUGAUACCUCGUCCUUUUACACUGCAAGAUAGGAAUCCGCAUAGAGCUAUCUUGGCCUAGUUAUGAUCAGCAUUUCUUCUGCUUGUACAUAAAAAGUUGUGUUGUUUUGGUUGAAAAUGAUUGUGAGAUGCGGUUAGGGUUUUGAUAAUUCGAUGUCUAUUAAACUAUCUAUACCCUGAUGAGUAAGUUUGAAUUCAGUGCGUGGGUGGGUGAUGUUGUAGGAAUUUUGUGGUGUUCAGCACUCUUUUCGAUUAAAAGGAUUUUAUUAUAUAUACAUUAGUUUUAAGUUGCAGUUAAUGAUAUUAUUGGUUAUGUUUUAAAUAAUAAAAAUAAUUUUUUGAAUCACUUCAUAUUACAAUAAUUCUAUUUUAUUUUUAAUUCAAGAAGUAAAAAUCCUAUCAAUUCAAAGAUUAUAUAUUGAAAUAAUUAAUUGAGCAGAAUAAGAAAUAAAAAUUUUGCCGUAUAACAAUGACACAUCCAAAUACUACACUUUAUCUGAUGUUUAUAGGGGUUAAUAAGGGUAUUUUAAAUGGUACAAAAAAUUAAUAAGGAUAAUUUGGAUAUUAGAAAGUUAUUUAGAAAUUUUGAAAUUUUUUUAAUUAGUUUAUUGAUAAAUAAUAAUUUAAAUAUUAUUAUAUUUCAAUUAUUAUUUAAUUUAUAAAUAAAUCUACUCAUAUGUAAUUAAUUUUUUUUUCUUUUUAAGUUAAUUAUGUAUUAGUCAUUUUAGUCUUAUAAUGCAUGCAAAAACAGAAACAAAAAAGUUUAUUUAUAAAUUUUAAUUUUUAUUAUAUAUAUUCUUUUAUGUAUAAAUAAAUCUAUUUGUAUAUUAUUAAAAUUUUUAAUUAAUUAUGUAUAAUUCAAAAUUAAUUUAUAUUUUAUGAUUUUAAAAUUCAUAGCAUUACAAAUUAUUUAUAUGCAUUAAUAUUAUUGUUACAUUUUAAUUUAAUAUUAGGCUUUAUUUUUUAUUAUUAUUUGAAAGUUACUUCUUUAUUUUUUUUAUUUGAAAGUUAUUUUUUGAUAACAUUUAAUUUCAUAGAAUUUACAAAUGAUCAAUUAUAUAUAUACAUACUCAUACACAUAUGUCAUGAGGGAACUAUAGUCUCACAAACCGUGCGACCUCAAGCAGAUUCUUUAUUUCAAAUUUACAUAAGUCAGCCUAACACUCGAAAAGUGAGAAUUUUUUCAAAAUUUCUCUAAAUCAUCAAAAAAUAUAGCGGAAGCAACUUAAAAGCAAAAGAGCAACGAGAGAAUUGAAAAGUCACAAUAGUACAGAUCCAAUGGGAUAAUUACAAAUGAGGGGGAAGACCUCUAUUUAUAGUUGAGUUCUCGAAAAUCCAAUGAUACAGAUCAAAUUACAUCAACAGCAGAGAUUAGUGCCUAUCUACAAGAUGAGAGUCUUAAGAGAUUUAAACUCUACACAAUUUUAUCCCUUUAAGAUUUACACUAUUUACUAUGGUAACUCUAGUUUUACUAGAGUGUUUUAUUAGGCCACCAAGGCUUCAAGUAGAUGAGCUUUUCCAUAUAUUCCAGAGUUGAGCCAGUUCAAAUAAGUCGAUUGAGCCUCAUUUCAUCAGUUGACCUCCAUUGUAUGUUCUAUGCGCAUUCGUUAUGGGUUUUGAUCCGCAACUUGUGACACAUACAUGUAACUAUUCUUUGAGUUAUUUUUGAGUGAUAAUUUUAUUUCACUUUUGAUUAUUUAUUAUUCUUCCAUUUUUACCAUUGUCUUUAUAAAAAUAUAAAAAAUCAUCUCUCAUUAUCGAUGAGAACUAUGGUUUCCUCAACAAAAUAGUUAUAGAGCUAAUAUUUUUUCAUACAUUUAUCUUAUCGGAAAAAGGAAAGACAAUUUUUUUAUGAGAUUUUCAAUACAAAAAUAUCCACUUGAAUGUUUGUCCUUAUCUUAUUAUGAAGUUGAAUCUCUAAAUAUUCCAACUAUGCUGAUAUAUAUGAAAUUAUACUUCUACCAUGAUAGUUUUUCAAUAUUUUAUGAUUUAUUUAAAAUUUUACAACCCCCAACAAGUAGCAUGUUAUCUCUUAUCAAAUCAUCAAGGUUUGGUUUGUAACACACCAAACCUGACCCUAUAAUAGUAUUCAAGAAUAGUGCGUCACUGCUUAAAAACAGUUAGACUUAAAAUCUCUACGGCAGAAACUUCAAAUAAUAAUUAAAAGGUUAUAGUUAUAAUACAUAUUUUAAUUGUUAUUCUAUUAAAGUAAAAGAACAUUAUCAGUUUGUAAUAAUAUCCAAGGCAUAUGGCGUAUAAAUUUAAAUACGACAACUUCGGUAAUUAAAUACAUUAGCUUAAACUCAGAUGUUAAUACUUUAUGUAAGUUUCGUUAAAACAAAUUAUUAAUAAACAAAAAAAAUUAUGUACACAUGAUUUUCAAAAUAUAUCUAUGUGCCACCCCCUUAAAGCAUGCAUGAUACAGACACAAAGUAAACAUCUCACAGCCUAAACAACUCUCUAGCACAAAGUAAACAUCUCACAGCCUAAACAACUCUCUAGCGUAGUCCUUGAUCAAACUUCCUUCAACCAGAAAAUCUUGAGAAGGUUAAAGGAUAAUAGAGUAAGUUCAUAUGAACUUAGUAUGUUCCAAAGAAAAAUCAUUCAAUUCAUUACUUAAGACUCUUCUGAAUAUCAUUUACAUAUCACACAGAGUACGCCUGCUGGCGUAUACAGAACACAAACAGAUGCAAUAUGCCAACUCUCAACCUGGGCAUAUAUUGAACACUAACUUAACUCAGACAAAUCCAACUUCAUGUGAGCCACGUACACAGAAUUCAGAAUCAAAAGCAUAUCAUUCAGACUUAUUCAUAUUCAUUCUCCCCUUUAGCUCCUUAUAACAUUUUCAUUUUGAACAAUAUGUUUUAUCGUGAUCUGUCAAUCUAGUUUGCAAUAUAUCUACCCUACCGGAGGCUACACAAACAUAUCUUCGUAUCUCCUCCUUCACACAUCAGAUCAUAUCAUUUCUUACAUAUUAGUAGCAGAUGAUACUGGUUUAAUCAUGAAAAAUGAUAUUGACUUCAUAUCAUAGUUCAGAUUACACUCAGACUGAUAACUUUAGAUAACCAUUACCUACACAACAACUUCCCUCUGUUACACACUCACAAACUUUUAAUCCUUUACAAAGGAAGAACACUUACCCUACAUAAAAUAUAAAAUAAUGAAGUUACAACACAUGGAAGUAAGAAGGAACUCACUAGAAACUCUAACACAAAUCUAUAAAGCAGGUCCCUUGCCCUUAUCACUUGGACAUUCGUUAUUUUCUUGAGCUAAAAUAAAGAUAAUUCAAUAUAUCAAAUCAUCAUUCCAUCAAAUUUGAUCAUGCAUGCAAAAAUCAACAACACUUAUACAGAAUUAGGAAGUUUCCUUCCUCACACACCAUUUUAGCACUCAUACAUGCAGAACAAAGAUCACGUAAAUGGCUUAAAGAAUAACCUAGGGUUCAUCAGAAAUUACUAGUAAACUGGCACUAACGAAUAAGUUAACUGAUCACUGCGAACCUUACUCUAAGGAGGGUUUUUCUGAACUUAAGUUUUUAAAGAGUUUUUCAGAGAAAAUCUAGGGAAGAAGAUGAAAUCGUAAAAGUAUUCAGAAAUACUAUCGCAUGACCUUAAAUACUUAAGCUUGGAGACAAUGAUUAGUGGAAAAAUUAGAUAAUUCCACUAACUCUCUUGAUUCCCGUGAUUAAGUGAUCUUAAAUUAAUUUAAGUCUUAUCAUCUAUAGUAGUCUAGUUUUAUUCUAACUAAGUCUCAACUUAAUUAGCCAAAUUAUCAAACUUAAGUAAUAAACAAAUCUAACAACUACGAACUUAUUGAGUUCGCCAAAACCUCUGAGUUGGGUGGAUACUAAACAGAAGAGCCCGUCAAACUGCAGAACACACCAAAACAAAGAGUUCACCGAAUGGCGCAUAUGCACAAAAUCCUAUACUUAGUCAAAACAAACACAUUACUUACUCACAUCUAUCCUUAUUUUACCAAAACACAUCAAAUAGUAACUAGAUGAUACAGAGGCUUCGUCGAGCGGCUGUUACAUGGUUGUUACUUCACUAGUAUAUAUUUCAUUUUGAUUACAUGCUUCGUAUUUUUAUUUUAUUUACUUCAAAAUAGAAAGUAUUUACUCUUUAAAUUUCUAUUUAACUCCUUUGUAUUAUUCUACAAGUUAUUACGAGUAUGAAGUCUAAAAAACUUUUUAACUUCUCAACAAACUUAUAGUUUCUUACCUUUUUUCAUAUGGUUAAUAGUGAAUUCACAUGUGUAGUCUCAUCGAGCUGGAGUGUGGCACUCAAUUUUUUAUUGUUUUAAACUUAAAUAUAAAAUAUUGUUAUAUUGUCUUAGGGGCUUCAAUCAAUCUUAUCUAUUUAAUGUAUAUUAAUAUCUUUUUAAGGAAAAUGCAUAUUUAUAUAUUCUCUAAUUAUAACAAUUUAUUUUUAUUUAUUUUGAUGUUAAAUAAUUUAAUAUAAAAAUCAAUAAGUUGAAUGUUUAUAUAUUAUUUAUUGUUUUGGUUUCUUUGAUGCAUUUAUUAGUUGAGAAUUAUAUUUUAAAUAUUAUUUUUUUACUUUGGAAGAUCAAUUAUUUUUGGGUAACUUAUAACCAUAUUAUAUUUUUUUUAGAUAAAAAUGUCAAAAAAAAAUUAUAACAUCCAUGUAAUUAUAGCUUCAAUUUACAUAUUUAAAUUUGGGAGAGCAAAAAGAGAGCGCAUUUUAUUGAUCAAUCAGAAUCUUAUACAAUGCUUCUCCAAAGUCUAUAUUUAUAGACAUAAGAAGUAUAAAUGAAAUGAAACUCUACUUCUAAUGACUAUUAGAAUUUAAAGUAAAUCAAAACUUAUCUAGAUCUUGAUGGAUAUCCACUUAAUAAAAUAUUCAUAAUACUCCCUCUUGGUCUUGGAUAUCCAUUCGUAGACAAUGUAUCUCAUUAAAACCUUACUAAGAUAAAAACCUUGUGGGAAAAAAAUUCUUAGUGAAAGGAGAAAAGUACACAUCUCUAUUAUACGCAUAAUCUGCUCCUUAUUAAAAACCUUACUAGGAAAACCCAAUGGGACAAAAUAUCGAUUAAGGAAAAAAAAGAGUACAUCGCGUAUUUAUUCUCCCUCAUGAAAACAUCACAUAAUAUCUUAUAUUCUAUGUAUUCAAUCUUGAAUACUAACUUUUCAAAUGACUAUUUGAAUGUAUUGCUAAGCAUUUAUAUUAUCAUUCUUUUAAAAGUCAUGAGUAAGGGGAAAUUUUGGGGAAAUAUAUUUUGAUCUCUUUAGUAGUUUCAACAAUAAUUAUAACAAAAUUUAAUCAUGAUCCCUCUAUAAAAAUACAAAUAGGUAUUUUGGAUCAUUUUAUAAUCCUCUUUCAACUAGUAUUAACUAAGUCAAAUUUACCACAUAUGUUUAAUUAUUUCAAUUCAUAUAAAUGAACAAUUUCCCAAUAAUUUCAAUAUGCCUCUGGCAUUCUAAAUCCUUCAAGAUUUUAAUAUAAACUUUACUAUAUAGUGAUUCAUAAAAAGCUUGUAACAACAACUAUUAGACGCAAAUUAAAUCUUUUAUGAAUUAUCAAUUUAAUAAUAUAUUUAAAGGUUAUUACAUCCACCACAAAAGAAUAUUAUAUCUUUUCAUAAUCAAUGUCAAGGCUUUCUGAAAAACUUUAUAUUUUUAUUCCGUUUUUGCAAAACUAUUUCAUUUGUACCCUCACUGGCUUUAUACUUUUAGAUAUUUGGACUACUGGUCCAAAAACUCCACAAAUUUAAUUGUACUUAAGUUGUGUCUUUCUAUUUUGAUCAAUUUAUUCCAUAUCUAUAUUUCUCAACAGAUUUAUUCAAGAUCCACCUUUUAUUUUAUUAUUUCAACAAUAAUAUUGCAUGCAAAACCAUUGUCGACCACUUUUAUUAUCGGUUCCACAUUCUCUUGAAUUGACAAAACGUAUCGAGAUUUAUUUAUUUUCACUAUUUUAAUCUUUAGUUUCAGGUACCUGAAUCUCUUUUGGAGUUUUAAUUAUGUCUUGGGUAUCUUCUGGAGCACCCACUUCCACUAUAUAACCAUCUAUAUUUAUUAUUUUCUUUUAUGAGAAUUUUCAUAUUUGGAACUUGUAAUGAGUUAUCCUUGUUGAACUUCUGGUUCAAAUUACUCUCCCUCCUAACUCAUUACAAUUUAUUAUUUCUCUCCCCCUAAUGUCGGGAAAGCUAUUGAAUCAAAAUAGUAAUCACAAAUCAUGUUAUAAUUGAAUCUCCAAUACAUUUAAAACAUAUAAUAAUACAAGACUCGUAAUUAAUAUCACUACACCAGAACAGGUUUUUAGCGGCGUUUUUUUAGGCCUUUAGCGGCGCUUUUUAACGCCACUAAAGGCAUUUGCGGCGCUUUAGGAAGCGUCACAAAAAAUGCCACUAAGGAUAAUGUCGCUAACUUUUUGCGGCGCUUACAGAAAAAAACGCCGCUAAAGGUCAUGUUCUUUAGCGGCAUUUAGAAAAAAACGCCGCUAAAUAUCAUGUUCUUUAGCGGCGCUUGUGCAAAAAACACCGCUAAAGAUCAUGUUCUUUAGCGGCGCUAAGAAAAAAAGCCGCUAAAGAUCAUGUUCUUUAGCGGCGCUAAGAAAAAAACGCCACUAAAGAUCGUGUUCUUUAGCGGCGCUUGGGAAAAAAACACCGCUAAAGAUCGUGUUCUUUAGCGGCGCUUGGGAAAAAAACGCCGCUAAAGAUCAUGUUCUUUAGCGGCGCUUUAUCUACAAACGCCGCUAAAAGUAGUGUGCUUUAGCGGCGCUUAUUUCAGAAACACCACUAUAUGAUAUAACUUUUAGCGGCGCUUUUUAAAAAAACGCCACUAAUUUUGAGAUUUUUUAAAAUAAUUUUUUUUGUUUUUUUCAGCCCUCCUGCAACAACAAAUUAAAAGCAACCAGAUCUAAACUAACCAAAAACAAUAAAUUUAUAUAAUAUUUCAAAUUAAAUGACUAAAAUGAUAUUAAUAUCAAUAAAUAAAAGUGAAUUCAUACUUUUCUUUAAAAAAACGUUAAAAGUUAGAAUGAUAAAAAUAUUUAUGCAACAUACAUUAUGUAGGCGGAAGUUGCGACUGCUGAAACAUCUUCAUCAUAAUCUGAAGUUGCUGUUGAAGUUCGUCGUACUUUUUGCUCUGCUCUGCUUCUCUCGAUGCCGCAUCUACUUGAAGUCGUUGCUGUAGUUCUUCAUAUUUCUUUUGAACCUUUGCUUCUCUCGCUGCGGCAUCUGCUUCUCUCGCUGCGGCAUCUACUUCUCUUGUUGCAGCCUCUGCUUCCCUUGCUGCCGCCUCUGUUUUAAGUUGUUGCUGAAGUUCUUCAUAUUUCCUUUGAACCUCAAAUGUGGUCGCUUGCAUCUGAGCCAUCUGGUCUUUUAACCUCUGAACUUCAGUUUGAGAUUGACUCCCCGAAGCCAUGUAUUGGUGCGAGCUGGUUCCAAAAUAUUGGGUUGGGCUGAUAAAAGAUCCUUGAAAUCGAACCCGACCAUACCUUUCUGGACCCAAACUUCAGUAAUAAUCCAGUUGUCAAUGUCUUCAAGAUGAAUAGAACUAUCAGUAGAAGCAAUCGCUUUGUACUCUGCCUUUUUAUCCUUUAGUUUUUCCUAAUAAAUAAAUCACAUAGUUAGGAACACAAUAUAUAUUAAAAAAAACAAAUGCAAUAUAACAAUAGUCGCAUUAAAAGCAAUAAAUUAAACCAUUAGAAAAGAAACACUAUAAAUAACUAAAACAAGUCAAAUCGUAUUAAGUAAACGUACCAUAAUUUCAACAGCUUCAAGAGUCAUAGCAGAUCCAUCUUUCUUCUUAUGUGUAAUUUCAAAAAGUUGAAGGCGUCCAACUUUUUGACCGGACGCCCGUUCCUACAAUAUAGUAGUAAAAAUAUUAUUUAAUAGAAAGUUAUACAUAUUGUAGAAUAUUAAAAAAUUAAAAAUACCUCCGCCUCAGCUACACAUGCAAAACUUCUCGACCCGGCUGUGUGAGUGAAUUUUUGUUGCUGCCGGCUGCUUUUUCCAACUCGUUCACGAUCCUACGUUAUAAAAUUUUUAGAACGUAAAUAGUAAAUAGUAUAAACCAAAAUAAUUACAAUAGUUUGGAAGUACGUCGUACCUCGCCUUUCUUCGAAUGCCAAAAUCUAACCGCAUCUUCCCAUUGGUACCUCAACAUACCCGGCGGGACAUUUUACAAUUUCUCAUCGAGGGUUGUUUUUGUCUUAUAAUAAUUUUUCUUCAACGUACUUUUAUUGUCUCUCCAUCUUUUUCCCAAUGCCUUUUUUACAUAAGCAUCGGAGACCUCUAAAGCAAACCUCGCCUACAAAAAACACAAGUUAAUAAAGUAAAUAUAAAUGAAACUAUCCCAAGCAUUACAGAUGACAUUAACAUUUUGUUACCUUAAUAUUAUCGAGGGCUUGGUUUUUGUUGCUAUCGGGCAUUUCACGCCAUGACUCGUAGUUGAUAGGCAACAUAUUUGCAUUUCGUGUUAAAAUGCCCAUGUAUCCUGCUAAAAGUCGAGCUUCUGAUCCAACAGGCUGACCAAAACUGUUUCUGCAUACCUUGACACGCACGACUGGAUCUAACUCGUACAACUCUUUAAGUAGCGUACGUCCUCGACCUCUGCGCGUCCCACCAUUUUCAGCUACAAAUAGUAUAUUAUAAUAUAAGAAUUUGAAAAAUAAAUCAACUAUAAGUUAACACGCAUGUAAAUUAAAUGUAAAAUUACUUUGAACUUCUGUAGGAUCCUCAGCUGGAAUCGGAACAUUCGAAGAUCCAAUUGCUGUCUGUUGUUCAGUACUAUUUGUUUCUGUCGAGUUUGGAUCAUUUUGAACAAUGCUUCCCCUUAGAAUUUUUCUUCUAGGCAUUUUAUCUGCAAUACACAUAAAAUAGUUGAAAACUUAAUAACUAAUUAUAACAAUAAUAGCACAUAUAAAACAAUUGAUAUGAUAUAAUAAGACCAAGAUUUAAAUGAUGAUAUUACAUAUAAUUAAACAAUCGUAAAAUCUUACUACAUCAUUAUUCGUAAAUAUCUUCAUCCGAAUCCUGACGAACCCAUUGAAAUUGUGCACUAGUACUAGGGAUAUUAUCGUUUAAGUCUUGUUCUGGAAAUGACAAAUUUUCUGAUCUGUCGUCGAUGUUAUCUCUACUUCCACUGCCCAUGUCAAACAAGUCUCUAGGGAUGUUACGGAGUACAACGUACCAACCCUCAUCAGUUGGAUCUUUUGAGUAAAAAACUUGUUUGACUUGACUUGAGAAUACAUACGGCUCAUCUAUCAGUUGUUGUCCUGUGUGAAUCAAUCGGUCAAAGUUCACCAUUGUAAAACCAAAUUGAUCUUGCUUGAUUCCACGAGCUGUAUUAACAUCGGCCCAAUCACCUCGAAAUAAGACAACUUUCCAUUUACCGUAGUAAUCCAACUCAAUAAUGUCAGUAAGCUGUCCGAAUAUUCCACAUUUCCCUCGACAGGAUUAUUGUCCCUAGCGCUAGCAUAACUUGUAAUUGCAGAAUUAACAACUAUUCCACAAUUUUGCGUUCUCCUCAACCUCUCGCGAUAUUUUGUAUGAAAUCUGAAUCCGUUGAUGAGGAACACACUAUAUCUUUUAACCACUCAAUUUGGACCUUGGGAUAGCCAUUUAACUUCGUCGUUUACGCUCUUCCCACUCCAAACCUAUUGAAUGGAAAGGAAACUGACUAAUUAAAAAUCUUAUGAGAAAGCAUUAUAAUUUGUAAGCGGAAGCUCGAACUGCAUACCGUUUGACACAACCAUUCAUAAAAAGAUUCUGUAAACAACUUAUUGAUAUCUCGAUGUUGUGUUCUUCGGGAGCGCGAACGAUAUCUCAAUAUUUGUUUAUACUCACUAUGUUUAAAAAAAUGUGAUCUUUGUUUGAAGAUAAACAAUUUUUAGUUUGAUAAAUAUUUAUAAAAUUUGUAGAACUUACUUCCGUAAAGGUUCCAAUGAUUCGUGGUGAAACAGAACAUAUCGAUGUGCUUGUACCCACGAUAAAUGAUCUAAUUCUGCAAUUUCAACUUUGCUGAUUGGUUCUCCAAAACUUUGGAACAAAUAAAUAUCGGCUAAGUUAUAGUCCGUGAGUCCAGCAUUCCUAUUUGGUCUGUUCAACCUUGUUUCGACAUAUUCCAAAUAUCUUGAGCAGAAGUCAUACAUUCUUCAGCCAAGUAGCCUUCAGCAAUCGAUCCUUCUGGAUAUCGCUUGUUGCGGCAGUAAGACUUUAAUUUGGAUAGGAACCUAAACACAAUAUACAACAUUAUCAAAAGUUGUAACUAAAGGCAUAGAGGUGAAUGAAGAAAAAUUUUAAAAAUACUUCUUUAACACCUUUCUAUGGGAUACAUCCAUCGAUAGAAAACGGGUCCACCAAGAGUUGCUUCGUGCGGGAGAUGAAUUAUCAAGUGAACCAUAAUGGUGAAGAAGGUAGGUGGGAAGAUUUUCUCCAUGUUGCAUAAAGUCCAAACGGCUCGAUCCUGUGCCUUCUGAAGUUCUUGAACAUCCAAAACUUUGCCACAAAUAGCUUUCAUUAUGUUGGAUAGUUCAAUGAUACAAGACGUCACCUUCUUGGACAUACAACAUCGUAGAGCAACUGGCAUUAAAUCUUGCAUCAAGAUGUGAUAGUCAUGUGAUUUUAGCGAAUAUAAUCUUCGAUCUUUAACACUAACACAUUGAGAUAUAUUUGAUGCAUACGCAUCUGGAACCUUUAUAUCCUUCAACACCAUGCAAAACAGUUCUUUCUCCGUCUUGGACAUUGAGAAAAUAGAAGGCGGCAACUGAUAUUUCCCAUUCGAAAGUGGAUUGGGAUGAAGAUCAGGUCGAAUUCCCAUUUGGACUAAAUCAAGUCGACUCUGAAGAUUGUCUUUUGAUUUUCCGUCGACGUUCAAAAUUGUAUCCAUAAUGUUCUCGCAGACAUUUUUCUCAAUGUGCAUAACAUCAAGAUUGUGUCGUAAAAGGUGAUGCUCCCAAUAAGGCAACUAAAAAAAAAUACUUCUUUUUUUCCACAAGUCCGCCUCAUUAGGAUCGUCCUCUUCGUCGGAGCUUUCAUCAGCUUCAUCAUAUGAUCUUCUGUUUCUCUGCGUGUUUGGCGGUUGGUUUAUCUUCCCAUAAAUGAAAUUCAUAUCUUCCAACAUGAACAAUAUUUCAGAGCCACUGGUCUGGGAAGUAGUUUCUAUGAACUCUUCAGUGCCGUCAAAUACAGAACUCUGAAAUCUAAAUUUAUGAUUUUCUGGUAACCACCGACGAUGCCCCAUGUAAGAGAACUUCUUCCCAUUGUACAACCAUUGCAAACAUGUUUGUGCAGCACAACAAGGACACGCGUAACGACCCUUGGUACUCCAACCGGAUAAAUUGGCAUAAGCAGGAAAGUCAUUAAUGGUCCACAUCAAAGCUGCACGUAAAUUAAAGUUCUCUUUUCUCAACAUAUCGUAUGUCUCGACACUAGCCCAUAAUUGUUUUAACUCUUCAAUAAGUGGCUGUAAAUAAAUGUCGAUAUCAUUCCCAGGCCCUUUCUCCCCAGGGAUAAUCAUAGAUAAAAUAAGGGAGGAUUGCUUCAUGCAAAUCCACGGAGGCCGAUUGUAAGGAACAAGCACUACUGGCCAAGUACUGUACGCAGUACUCAUGAUCUUGAAAGGAUUAAAUCCAUCAGAUGCUAGCCCAAGCCUCACACUCCUAGGAUCGCUUGCAAAGCUUGGAUAUUUAUUGUCAAAUGAUUUCCAAGCUAAAGAAUCUACCGGAUGCCUCAUCUUUCCAUCAUCGGUUCAUCCGUCAUGGUGCCACGUCAUAGACUCCGCUGUCUUCGACGACAUGAAAAACCUUUGAAGCCUUGGUAUCAGCGGAAAAUAUCGUAAAAUCUUGACCGGCUUCUGACUUGGUUGUGCAACAUUUUCAUCGUCGUUCCCACCUUCUGUGUUUUUACUUAUCCAACGGGAGUGGCCGCAUACAUGACAGCACUGUUGAUUUCUCCGAUCGCCCCAAUACAACAUGCAGUCAUUUGGGCAACUAUGGAUUUUGUUGUACCCAAGGCCUAAAUCUUUUAUCAUUUUCUUCAUAUCUUUGCAUGACCGAGGGAUUUUUUGCAAAAGGAAACAUUUCUCCCAAGAACUUUAACAGCAUUGUCAAAGAGUUCCCGGUCCACCCUCCCAAACAUUUUAAUUGAAAAAGACGAACACAGAAAGACAUUUUUGAAAAUUUAGAUCCCUCAUACAGUUCUUCGUUCAUGUCAUUAAGUAGCGCAUAGAACUUCGCCGCUUCUUCGUUCGGCUCUUCAUGAGGUACACUACUUCCCGGUUCGGUAAAAGCAUUUCUCCCAAUAUUACAAUCAUCAGAAGCCACAAAGUCCACUGGGAACGACUGGACGCCAUGAUUAUGCAUACUAAAUGCAUCCCGCAACAUGCCUUCCAUGUCAUCCCCUCUAUCAGACUGAUGGUAAGCAGUACCAGAGUAAGAUACAUCCAUCGUUGAAGAGGAAGUACUACGCGGGCAUUCUCCAUGAAAUAACCAUUGUUUAUAACCCCGAACAAACCCAUCAACAAUUAGAUGCUCGUAUACAACCUCACGAUAAUGCCAGUUUAUGUUGACACACUUCUUACACGGGCAAAGAAUCAUGUUCUCUUGGCUUGCAUAUUGAAAUGCAAAAUUUAGAAAAUACUGUACUCCAUUUCGAUAACCAUUGCUAACCCUUGACAAAUUCAUCCAAGACCGGUCCAUUUCUUAAUUCUUGAAUUCUGACGUUCACAAUAAUUUGCACGGGUAAGUUAAAACGCCAGUUAUAACCAUAAAUGAAUUUCAGAAAUUUGUGAUAUGAUAUAUUUUUAUGUAUUAUGUAAGUUAUGUAACUUACGUAAGUUACCAAAUUAAUGUAUGCUAUGUAAGUUGUAAGUUAUUAUGUAUUAUGUAAGUUAUGUAUUAUGUAGGUUAUGUAAGUUGUGUAAGAUAUUUAAGUUAUGUAAGUUUUGCAUUAUGUAAGUUAUGUAUGCUAUGUAUAAUGUAAGUUGUUAUGUAUAAUGUAAGUUAAUAUGUAAGUAAUGUAUUAUGUAAGUUUAUAUAAAAAUUUUAUAUAAGUUAUGUAUUAUGUAAGGUAACAUAUAAGUUUAUGUAAGUUAUGAAUGUAAGUUAUGUAUUAUGUAAGUUAUUUAAAUUAUUUAAGUUGUGUAUUAUAUAACUCAUGUUGCUAUGUGUAAUGUAUGUAAAUUAUGAUUUAUAAACGCUUUAAAAUUUUCAAAUAUAUCAAUAUAAUUUUAACAAAUAUAUUAAAACUGUAUAUAAAUAUAUAUAUCAAAGAUGUUUUAAAAUAUAACUUUGAAUACAUUUCAUUUAAAAUUUAAUUUUGUAGCUAUAAUCUCCGGAUAAUUCAAAGAUCGUUACGAUAUGAUGUAUAUUUUGUAGCUUUUAUUAAUUCAAACAACAAAUUAUGUCAGUAUUUAUAAAAAAAACAUUGACUUCGAAUUACAAGAUAUAAUUAAUUUGUUUAUAUUUAUGAAAACAAUUUUUGUUAUUAAAGAAAUAAUACUUUGAAUUGCCAUUACAAAAUAAAUAUAUUUCGAAAAAGUAUAUUUUUAUUUUAAUAGAAAAUAUAAAUAAAUAUACAAAUUUAUUUGUAUGUAAAAGAUUAUUAAUCAUUAACAUAAAACCAUUAUGUAAGUUAAGAUCGAUAAUUAAUCAUUAAUUUGAAGUAAAAUUUAUAAUUGCAACACAUAAUAUCGGAAAUCGAUGAUUUGUAAACGCUAAACUGAUUAAACGAUUCGCCCAUAAUUUAUUCAAUUACUCAAAUAUAUAAAUUUGUUUAAGAGUUGUAUUCCGAAUUUUAAUAGUUUAAAACAAUUGCCUUUGCCGAAUAUCUUGAGCAGAAAAUUUAAACAUCAAAUAAUGUAAUAAGCUGCAAAGUCAAAUGCAAAUUUAGCUAAAAUGGUAAUUAAAACUCCCAUCUAAAAAUGAAAAAUAAUAAUUCAACUAUACAAUUAAAAUAUAACAAAAAAAAUUUAACAAUUUGACUUUUUUUAAUAAGAAACCUAAAUAGAGAAAAAUAGGAAUAAAUACCUUAAAUUGCCUCAAUUCCGAAGCAAAUCCUGGAAAAAAAAGACAGAAAUACAUUAGUACCAAAAAAAUAGAAGUAAUUAAAGCCAAAAAACUAAAAAAAACAAGAGUUUAUACUCACAAAGUUAGCUAAACUAAAAAAACUAAAAUUGAACAUAUAAAUGAAUACAUAUAUGAAUAUAUGUUGAAACAUGACAGUGAAUUAGAUGAUAUUAGAGGUUUAAAAUUGAACUUAUAUAACUGUUCUGAAAUUCCCAAAAUUGAACAUAUAUAUAUAUAUAUAUGUUCCCAAAAUAACAUUUGUCAUAUUUGCAAGUUAUGCAAAGCUAUUUAUGGACAGAAACAUACGCAUUUUAAACAUUUAUAAAUUUCAUAGCUUUAUUUUUUUAUAUAUCUGAUUGACCUCAUGAACAACAUGAUAACAGAAAUGAGUCUUAUAUAUUUUGUAAUCAAUUUUUGCAGGCAUUGAAGGCUAAAUUGGCGAAAAAUAGUGAACUUCAACUCAUCUGCUUCAGCUUGUUUGAUUUUCUGUUUUCAUUUGCAUCUUCUGUUUUCAUUUGCAAAUUGAAUUCUCUGCAAUUCUCUGCAACAUUUAUUCAGCAAAUUGAAUUUUCUGUUUUCAUUUGUAUCUUCUGUUUUCAUUUGCAUCUUCUAAUUUCUAAUUUCAUUUAUCCAAGUAGCAUAGAUUAAAACCGGUGUUUAUUUCUUCUUUUCUAACAAAAUCCUAACCAAAUAACUGACAUUUAUAAUAAAAAAAUCAUAACAUAAAUAAAAUACCAAUAAAACAUAAAGCACAACAAUGUUAUUGUCAACAGAACAUAACUAAAGAUUUAAAGAAAAAGAACAGGGAAAUAAACAAAAUGAAGGGAGAAACACGCAGAAAUCCCCAAACCCUAGACAUGCAGAAAUCCCCAAAUUCUCCAAAUUCUCAAUCCCUAAAUCAAGAUACAGUAUUUCGAAAGGAAAAAACGCUUACCUUUUAACCACAAAUUCCGCAGCUUUGAUAGUAUCCUGUGAAGCUUGAAUAAACCCUUGCUUCGUUUGCCUUGCUUCUGAGUUCUCCUCUCAAAUUUUUUUCUUUGUAUUUUUUCACGAUUUCUGGGGAAAAGUUUGGGGGGCCUUUUUGGGGACGAAAUACGUUUUUCGGCUAAGUGUUGGGAUGAAAUACAGAAUGAACAAUUGCGGCGUUUGUAAUAUAGCGCCACUAAUACCGUUAAUGUGGUAGAUAAACGACAGCGUUCUUUUAAAACUGUAAAGCAAAUUUGUGGCAUUUUCUCCUCGCGCCGCUAAAACAUACCUUUACUGGCGCUUUUACAAUUGCGCCGCAAAAGCCAGUAAAUUCCCGAACAAAAACUACAUCGUUUUGCCCAAACUAUUCAUAAUUUUUUGCGGCGUUUACGAAUAAAACGCCGCUAAUGCCCAUUUUUCUGGCGUUUUCUACAAAAACGCCACUAACAAAUUAAAUUCUUCUACUGAAACGACACCAUUUUUUAGAUAUUUUAAAACAUUGUUUUUUUAAUUCAUAUUUAAAAACACAAUAUAUAAUUACAAAUUGCGGCGUUUACGAAUAAAACGCCGCUAAUGUCGUUAAUAUGCAAUAGAAAACGACAACGUUUUGAUUAAAAUACAGAGCAACUUUGCGGCGUUUUCUUCCUAGCGCCUCUAAUACCCAACCUUAGUGGCGUUUUUGCCCUUGCGCCGCGAACGCCGUUAAAUUCUCAGCCAAAAACUACACCGUUUUUACCAAAUUAUUAAUAACUUUUGCGGCGUUUUUGCUCAAAACGCCGCUAAAUCUCACAUCUUUUACUUAGUAUUAUUUCUUUCUUUCUUUCUUUCUUCCAUGUUUCAUUAGAAUUUUAAUUAAUUAAUUAUUAAAAUUUUAAGUAAUGUUUAAAACUAUCUGAUAAAAUUAUAAAUUUUAGUUUUUUUUAUUUCAUUUUUAUAUUUUUUUAUUUUUUCAUUUAUUUUGAUCCUAUCCAAAUUAAAUAUAAAUAAUUACUAUAUAUAUAUAAAAUAUCGAAUUGCUAAUGUUAAAUAUUUUUAAAUUUAAAUUUUAGUAAUUAAAUGUAUCAUUUAACAAGCUGUCUAAAAUAAACCAAAACCCUAAUUAAUGAUCACUGAACCUCCACCAAUUGUAGGAUUCUUGACAUGUGCUAUCGGUGCCCUAGGAACAUUGCCAAAAUACCGAAAGGGGGCAUUUGUUAGCUUCCAACCCUCCAAAUCCCGUCGUUCAUCAAUAAAUAUUUUUAAAACGAUCCUUUCUACUUAAAUUAGAAGGCUGAACCAGAUUUUGUAGAGUAGUGAAAAAGAUUUGGAGAAACAAAACCGGACGGUCACUACUUAAUAUUAAAUUUAUUAUUAUAUAUUUUACAAACAUAUAAGAACAUAUUUAAUAUAUAAAUUAAUAAAACUAAUUAAUCUAAGCAACCAUGAUCCCUAACUUGAGUAGUACCCUUAAUUGACACCCUAAACCCUAAAUCCCUAAACCCUAAAUCCCUAACCCCUAAAUCUCAUAACCCCUAAAUUCCUAACCUUUAACUCCUAACCCCUAAAUUCCUAACCCCUAACCCUUAAACCUUAUAUCCCAAACCCUAAUAAUCAUAUAUACCCCCUAUAUAUAUACCUUCCAAAAAAUUCCCUAAAUCUUUAAUAAUCAUAUAUAUAUAUAGUUGAAUUGGUGAAGUGAUAACAAAAGGAAUGAUAGCGAGUUAGGACGUAUAUAUAUGCAUAUAUUUUAAUUAAUUGAAUGAGAUCAAUUCAAAUUCACAAUUUGAUUUAAGUAUUUAAUUAAAUGUUUGUCAUUAAAAAUUUUAUAAUUAGUUGAGUAUUACGUACUAUUUCAACCUUGAAUUUAAAUUAAAUAAUAUAUAUUAUCCAUCAAAUUUUUUAAUCCUAAUAAAAAACAUAAUUUUAAAAUUUUAACCUUUUUUUUGGAUGUUGAUCACAUCCACAAUAUAUAACCAGAUCAUUUGAAUUAAUUAACUUAAUACUAUAUUAAAUUAAUAAUCAUAUAUAUAUACCUUAAACCUAAUUAAACCCUAAAUUAACUAUACUGAUAAUUAAAUAAUUCAAUAUUUUAAAUUUAAAAUCAUACUAUAUCUGUUUUACGAUUAUAUAAAAAAAUUUUACUAUAUAUAAUAAUAUAAAAAAUAAGCAGUAUUAAUUCAUGUAUCCAAAAAUCUUAAAAAUUAUUUUAAAUAAGAGUAAUUUAAUUUUUUUCCAUGUGAUUUAUUUCAAAUUAUUUUUAUGUGUUAUUUUUUCUGAAUAUUUUAAAUAUUUAAUUAGAUUUAAGUUGAAUUUUAUUUAAUUAAUCUAAAUAAUAAACCAAUUAAGAUAAAAUGUUUUUUUGCGGCGCUUCAACAAAAACGCCGCUAAAACCUUAACAUUAGCGGCGUUUAUCAUAAAAAACGCCGCUAAAAAUCUUAACUUUAGCGUCGCUUACAUAAAAACGCCGGCUAAGACCAAAUAUUCGCGGCGCUUCAAAGAAAUCGCCACUAAAUACCUUAACUUUAGCGGCGGUUGAUUAAAAACGCCACUAAAACCCCCGACCAUUAGCGGCGAGAUCCUAAAAACGCCGCUGAAAGUAAAAGCAUUAGCGGCGCAAAUACAAAAACGCCACUAAAGCCCUUCGAAGACCACCAAACGACGUCGUUGGGAUUUUUUUUGGCGGUGUUUUUGACAAAAACGCCGCUAAUGCAUAUUUUUAGCGGCAUUUUCUUAGAAACGUCGCGAAAGCUCAUUUUUUAGCGGCGCCUGACUUUUACCGGUGUUUUUUUAUCGAAACGCCACUAAAAGUGCCGCUAAAACCCUGUUUUGGUGUAGUGUAUAUAUUCUCAACUUUCGUUUAUGAUUUACUCAUCUUUGUGCGUUGUGGUGGAUCAAUUAAAGCAUAUACGCACAUACAAAAAUUCAAAGAUAAGAAAUAUUUAGCUCUUCACCAAAAACCAAUUAUAAUGGGAAAUAUUUAUAACUUAUUGGCUUGAUGCGUACAACACGUAAAUCAAUAUAAUUUCAUGUUGAAAUAGGAAGUUUAGUUCUCAUAAUUAAUGGUUUUGAUAUUAAUUAGAGGCGUUCAAUUAAUAAUUUCUCUAAACCGUUUGCGCAUAAAUAACAAGCUUUUACAAAAGUUUUUCAAACUCAAUCAAUAAAAGACUAAGAUAUAAACUCAUUAGCAUAGUCUGGAUUUAAUUAUUUAAACAAACAAUCUUGCAAAUGGCAUGUUGCAAAUUGAUAACACAUAUGUGAUUAUUUUGUAGAUACACCUACCAGGAAUCAUAUAAUAUCAAAAUUAUCCACAUGGUGAAUGAAUGAACCUAUAUUCAUUUUAGAAAUGCAAGACAUUUUAUCUUAACUUUAGCUAGUGAGUUUAUAAUAGACAAUUUUCAUUGAGAACAAGCAACAAAUGAGAAUUGUUUAAAUUAAAGAAUCUUUUGGUUCUUUAAUGAAUGUUCAUAUGAAUUGUCAAUUAAUUUUCGCAUAAUAUAUGAUUCAGGAUAGUCUAACUGGUCACACCAAGUAGUAAGUGCAUUUGUAUCAGUAAACUUCUAGUUUACUUUAACAUGCAUUUCAAUUGUAUUGAUAAUGUCAAUAUAAAUUGUGACAAAUUGAUAAUUUUACUGUCAUUCCUUUUAUUUUUUAUCCAUAUAUAAGUACUAUUGUGACAUUUACUACUGGAAAUGUCUAAAUCAAUGCGAAGUCGAAAUCACCAUUUUCUAGGUGUACAAUAGGUAUAUAACCAAUUGUUUUUCAUACAUAAGUUUUUUCUCUUGCAAGUUCUCAUCGGUAAUAUUUUUCCACGUAAUUUUAAUUGAGAACUUAUUCUGAAUAUUGUAGAGUUAUACUAACAGUUAUAAAAAAAAUUUACAAUUUCAGGUGCAUCCAACCAUAACGAGCUUUAGAUAGAAUUACAAUAUUCUAUUGCUCAUAAUUAGAUCUUUCUCAGUUAAAUAUUUUGCUUUCAACCCCUUAAUGGAGAUGGUGACAAAAGAAGAUCACAAAGAUAGUCACAAUCAAUUCAAUUUAAUAACAAGAUUAAUCAAUAAUUCAAUCCUCUUUUGAUUCAUAUGAAAUGUAAUAUUUUUCUCAUUCACAAUCUCAAUAUGAGAUCCAUUAUGAAUAUAUUUUAAAACCAAUGAAUUAACCAUUACAAGAUAUUAAUAUAUUAGCUCAGUUGGAGCUUUCGACUAAUUUUGUAUUGCCAAAUAUUAGAAUAAUAUUGGUUUUUAUUUUCUUUUAUACUUGCGUUCACUUCGGGGAAUACAAAAUAUUUACUAGGACGAACUUAUAAACGUCCUAAUAGAUUCAUUAUUUCAUAAUCACGAUCGCAAACAUACUUGGAUUUCAAAUUAUAAUCUAUCUAUUCAUGUUGUCGUAAUUAGUCUCCAAUUAUAAAAAAACAUGAUAUAAUAAAUAAAUCAUAGUAAAAUAUACUUGAAGAUCUUUAACAUUAUUGUCAUCACCCACGUAAGGAUUAUAUAAAUUUAUUUAGAUAAUGAUUACCCAUGGUGCGCAGGUCUCAAUUGAAGAUUGAAAUUGCAAUAGCUCUAGAAGGCAAUUAACAACAACCAUGAGCAGCAUAUUUGGAGUGAUUGUAUUAAAAAAAAUAAAAGAGAAUCGUGCUGAUAACGUAUUAUAAAAUAAAUAGACAGAGAGUGAGAGAGUGUGUAUUUUAUUGAUCAAUCGGAAUCUUAUAUAAUGCUUCUCCAAAGUCUAUAUUUAUAGACAUAAGAAAUAUAAAUAAAAUAGAAAUAUACUUAUAAUGCUUCCUUGACUUUAAUUCUUUUCAAUUAUCAAGAAGUAUAAAAUAGCAAAAAGGAACAAAGCUUUUGUCAAUUGAUUUAAACGGAACAAAGAUAUCAAUUUUUUUUAUAGUGGUUAGUCAUAUUAUUUAAAUAAUACAAUAAAUUUUUAUUUUAUUUUCAGAUUAUAAGAUAAGUUUCACAUCCCAAAGAUUAAAUUAUGGUACAUAUUUAUAUUAUUUCUACAAUUAAAAAAUUUACAAAUUUCUUUUCACUUGAAUUUUAGGAUCUUGAUUAUUAUUAUUAUGGGGACUAUCACUCAUUUAAUUUAAUUAGUCAUAUCUCCUCAAAUUUCAUUUUUUAUUGACUACAUCUUUUACUAGUUUUUCUUUAUAAAAAAAAAAUGUUGUAUCAAUUUAUUUAAAACUUAUAUUCGUUGUGAUAUAUAAAAUUCAUCUACUAUUUAUUAACGAAUAAAGUAAUUACUUAUUAAACAUAAGGGCAGAGGAAAGAGUUAUAAAUACUAAGAUUUCAAACUUAGAAAAACUUUUUUUAUAAUUUUUACGAUAGUAAAAAUACAAUUUCACCAUUUAUAACUUUUAAAGGAUUAAAUCAAAAUUUUAUCAUUUUUAGGGAGAUAAAAUACAAUUUUACUAUUAUUAAUUUAAAAUUUUAAAAAUUUUAAAACACCUAAAUGAAAAAUUUUCCAUUUUAAAAGGAGACGGGACUCCUACCAACCCCCCUUAUUUCAACCCAAAUGUUCCCUCUUAAACUUAGUUAUGUUAUAGAUAUAUCAUAACUAAAAAAAAAAAUUUAACUCAUGACUUUUAUUUUUAAAACGAGCAAACUGUUUUUUAUACGUUACUUUUUAUCAAUUAUUAUUACAGCAUGUUUGGUUGGGUGUAUUGGCAUAGCCAAUACACCCCUAAUCGGUGGGCCCCACUUAAUCCCCCUUUAAUCCGUUGUUUGGUUCAUGGUAUUGCUAUUACGGGUCUAAUACAUUACUGACCUAAUCGGUGAAAUCCACCGAUUUCUAAUCCCCCCUUUUGCUCAGUUUAGGUGCUGCUUCGUUUACCCUCCCUGUUUUACCCUCCCGAUCGUCUUCUCUUUGCGUCUUCUCUUCUUUCCUUCUAGCUUCUGCCGAUUUGCUCAGUUUCUGCCGAUUUGCUCCCUCCGUUUCUCCAGUUUCUGCCGAUUUGCGUCUUCUGUUUCUUUUCUUUUUCUUUACAACAUUACGCUUGGCCUUCUCAACCAGUCAACCUUUUCUUUUCUUUUCUCU
RNAcentral lists this long non-coding RNA (37755 nucleotides) under Gossypium barbadense (sea-island cotton). RNAcentral's name for it is "long non-coding RNA (GBAR_LNC014432)". Lineage: Eukaryota; Viridiplantae; Streptophyta; Magnoliopsida; Malvales; Malvaceae. The record is from RNAcentral.